AGUCCACAUCGACGGGGAGGUUUGGCACCUCGAUGUCGGCUCAUCACAUCCUGGGGCUGUAGUAGGUCCCAAGGGUUGGGCUGUUCGCCCAUUAAAGUGGUACGCGAGCUGGGUUCAGAACGUCGUGAGACAGUUCGGUCCCUAUCCGUCGCAGGCGUAGGAAAUUUGAGAAGACCUGUCCUUAGUACGAGAGGACCGGGAUGGACGUACCUCUGGUGUACCAGUUGUCCUGCCAAGGGCAUGGCUGGGUAGCUAUGUACGGAAUGGAUAAGCGCUGAAAGCAUCUAAGCGCGAAGCCAACUUCAAGAUAAGAUUUCCCACCGAAAGGGUAAGACCCCAGAAAGACUAUCUGGUUGAUAGGUCGAAGGUGUAAGUGCAGCAAUGUAUUUAGCUUAUCGAUACUAAUAGGUCGAGGACUUGACCAAU
Molecule: ribosomal RNA, 426 nt
Filed under: Clostridioides difficile
Lineage: Bacteria; Bacillati; Bacillota; Clostridia; Peptostreptococcales; Peptostreptococcaceae
Description: partial 23S ribosomal RNA
Rfam family: Bacterial large subunit ribosomal RNA
Source: RNAcentral